AUGUUUAUCUUAUAUGGAUCGAAAGUAGUAAAGGCUUUGGACAAAUGUCGAAUUCAAUUGAAGAGGAUUGCAAAUAGAUGAACUUAUUCAUACUAGGUUGUGCCCUUAAGUUGAUAACCUUUCUCUAUGCUUCUUGCGUUGAACAUGUGUUGAUUAGCUAGCUUUCUAGACUUUGAUUACAUGUUUAAUAGGACUGAUCUAGGUGCUUUCAUUUAGAUUAAUUAGUAAAUGAAAGUAAAAUAUGGGUAAUCAUUUGCUUCGAAUAUUUCACAUGAUCAACUUCUUUCUCAUGACUUAGAUGAUCAAUUAUAGGAUGUGAAUAAUCAUAUGGAAUUGGUUUUGAUCUUUGUUUCUUACGUUUCAUUCUUGUACAUGUGUUUUUAUAUUUUCUUUAUUUUUUUUAGUUUAAUUUUUGA
Molecule: long non-coding RNA, 416 nt
Filed under: Rosa chinensis
Lineage: Eukaryota; Viridiplantae; Streptophyta; Magnoliopsida; Rosales; Rosaceae
Description: sRNA RchiOBHm_Chr7g0219781
Source: RNAcentral